CACACGACUCUCGGCAACGGAUAUCUCGGCUCUCGCAUCGAUGAAGAACGUAGCAAAAUGCGAUACCUGGUGUGAAUUGCAGAAUCCCGCGAACCAUCGAGUUUUUGAACGCAAGUUGCGCCCGAGGCCUUAUGGUCGAGGGCACGUCUGCCUGGGCGUCACGC
RNAcentral lists this ribosomal RNA (164 nucleotides) under Eragrostis sessilispica. Its description in RNAcentral is "5.8S ribosomal RNA". It matches the Rfam family "5.8S ribosomal RNA". From Rfam's summary of the family: 5.8S ribosomal RNA (5.8S rRNA) is a component of the large subunit of the eukaryotic ribosome. It is transcribed by RNA polymerase I as part of the 45S precursor that also contains 18S and 28S rRNA. The record is from RNAcentral. Lineage: Eukaryota; Viridiplantae; Streptophyta; Magnoliopsida; Poales; Poaceae.